GAAGGGUCGGGGUCGCUAGCCAGCAAAUGUCGGGGGAGUGGGAGACAUGCAUGGACGCUGAGAGUUGCUGAUGUCACGGUGAAAGCAUGAGCAAGGAGUGACGUGAGGACAGCCGGUCACUGGCUACCAGCCCAGUCUGGGUAUACCCUGGGAAUUGCGGUCUCCAGCCUGCCGCACCUGGUGGUUUCCAAUUGCAGAGCUGAGGCAAGACAAGUCUGAAGAGCAGAGCAGCAGUCCAGAAAAGUGGAGAGCAAUAUUAAGAUGGCGUCUAAGGCAAGACAGUGGAGGGAGACAUGCUGGACAAUGCCAAGGAUUGGGGAGAAAACCAGAUGUGAACCCAGGGCACAGAGAGCUUGGGGGUAGGUAUCUGUCUGUAACCCUUCCCUGUCCCCUCUCACAGAUAGAGUCCAAGAGGGAUUCGAAGGACCGAACGACAGCUCCAGUACUAAAGGUGACUUAGGUGCCUGAUUCAGCUUCCAUGUGCGUGUCUGUCUGAAAUUGAACCUGUCAUCAGCCCUUUCCCAGCUGCCUCCUCACUGCCUAUCUGCUGUGUUCCUGGUGUUCUCUCUGCCCCGGCAGUCCCUGUAGCAUGGCUAAUCUCUUGUCAUGUUCCUUUCGUCGUUGGGUUACCUCUUUUUAUACAUUUGCCUGGGUAGAGAGUACCCUGGUUGGCAGAUAUACUCUUGUCUGGUGUAUAGUCAAAUGUUUGUGGGAAGGGUAGCCAUAUGGUGGCUGUGUGACAUUAUUGACAUAAACUGCAACCACUGUUCUAUAUUUGCAGCAAAUAUUGUACAAAGGUUGUAGUGUGAGGUGUCUAUGAAGAGGUUAUGAUUUGUUGGCUGUGAUUAUGCUAUCUGUAUUUGAACCAUUUUUGUAGUUGAAGUUAUGAAUAUUGGCUAUGUACUUGUAUCUCAAUGUGUAUGAUUCUAAAUAGCAUUAGUGAAACAUUUGGUCAGCUUUUUAAGAAAGGAAUUUGCAAAUUAAGUGCCCAAUCAAGAAUCCGUUAACUGACAAUGGACCUUGGAAGACUCCAAUACACAUAAGAAGUCUUCCUGGGACAUUCAAGGUAACACGUGAGCAAUGGCUGCCACCUGCAAACUGAGUCAUGCAUGGACAUGUGACUCCAAACUCCAUCGUGCUGCUGUGAUUUUUCCAGAGUAAGAACAAAUAUGUCCUUCCACAGGGCAGAGAAUAUAAAAGGCCCUGGAAACCCCUCCAUUUUGUCUUCAAUCCUGCUUCUUACUUCUGGAGGAACCUUGCUGCAAACUGAAGCUCUGAACAAAGGACUAUAUGACCCAUCCCAGCUGUGGACGUACUCCAGAGAUUUGAUUUGACCCUGCAGUUUAUUCCAUCACUGCUACAAGUCUGAACCAAGAACUUUGCCAUUACUGUAUGUAAUUGAUUCAAUUUAACCAAUUCUGGCUCUCAUCUAUUUUUUUUAUGAAUAAACCUCUAGAUUUUUAGAUUCUAAA
Long non-coding RNA from Malaclemys terrapin pileata, 1472 nucleotides. RefSeq lists it as uncharacterized. The transcript is spliced from 2 exons. Lineage: Eukaryota; Metazoa; Chordata; Testudines; Emydidae. The record is from RefSeq and is a predicted model, not a curated record.